UUAAAUGAUGAUAAAGGACCUCAGGUCCGAACUAUAAACCCAGCUCUUCGAAUGUCUUUGUGCAUCAUGAGAAAGAAAACCAUACUGAUU
RNAcentral lists this small nucleolar RNA (90 nucleotides) under Colletotrichum chlorophyti. The record is from RNAcentral. Lineage: Eukaryota; Fungi; Ascomycota; Sordariomycetes; Glomerellales; Glomerellaceae.